CCCAGGGCUUACGCCCUGGGCUGUGUUAUGUCGCACCUUCGGUGCU
RNAcentral lists this small RNA (46 nucleotides) under pig gut metagenome. RNAcentral describes it as "Acido-Lenti-1 RNA". It matches the Rfam family "Acido-Lenti-1 RNA". The record is from RNAcentral. RNAcentral also lists the same sequence under 1 other name.